GAAAUAAGCCAAGGGAAGCCGCAUUUUCGAAGAAGAAUGGUCCAAUGAUGCCUCCAGCCCAAAGUCCACACCAAACAGUGACAUGUUGUGGAUGUAUUUGUUUCUCAA
Long non-coding RNA from Myotis davidii, 108 nucleotides. RefSeq lists it as uncharacterized. Lineage: Eukaryota; Metazoa; Chordata; Mammalia; Chiroptera; Vespertilionidae. The record is from RefSeq and is a predicted model, not a curated record. The transcript has 3 exons.